RNAcentral lists this ribosomal RNA (708 nucleotides) under Methylobacterium sp. GH-03. RNAcentral describes it as "bacterial SSU rRNA". It matches the Rfam family "Bacterial small subunit ribosomal RNA", at positions 1 to 783 of the family's 1533-position model. Lineage: Bacteria; Pseudomonadati; Pseudomonadota; Alphaproteobacteria; Hyphomicrobiales; Methylobacteriaceae. The record is from RNAcentral.
UUAUUUACACCUGCUAGACGACGCUGGCGCAGGCUAACACAUGCAUUCGAGCGGGCCUCAGGUCAGCGCGAACGUAGACGCGUGGUACGGCCUUCUGGUUCGGAAUACCUGGGAACUAGGGCUAUUCCGGAUACGCCUUUGGGGAAAGGUUAACUCCGGUAGAUCGCCCGCGUCUGAUAAGCAAGUUGAUGGGGUAACGGCUACAAGCCGACGAUCAAUUGGCUGGUCUAAGAGGAUGAUCAGCCACACUGGGACUGAGACACGGGCCAAGCUUCCACCGGGAGGCCAGCAGUGGGGAAAUAUUUGGCCAAUGGGGCGCAAGCGUGGUUAGCCCUGCCGGGUAAGUGAUGAAGGCCCUAGGGGUUGUAAAGGCUUUUUUCUCCGGGUCGUAUAAUGACGUUUUCCGGGAGGAUUAUGCCCCGGCCUAAACGAAUAACCCCCGACUACCGGUUAACCGAAGGCGCGGCUAACGCGAAUGGGGCUUUCCUUGCUCGUAAUCACUGGGCGUAACGGCGUUUUGACUCGUUUUAAGUCGGGGUUGAACUCCUGUCGCUCAACCACAGAAUAGCCUUCGAUACUGGCGCUUUAUUAUGAGGGUGUGUAAACUCGAGUUAGAGGUGAAAUUCGUAGAUACCCCAAGAACACCGGUGCGAAGGCGGCCAACCUGGACCAUUUCUGCGCUAAGGGGGGCCAAAAAUAGCCCGGGAU